Molecule: ribosomal RNA, 774 nt
Filed under: uncultured Neocallimastigales
Lineage: Eukaryota; Fungi; Neocallimastigomycota; Neocallimastigomycetes; Neocallimastigales
Description: partial large subunit ribosomal RNA
Rfam family: Eukaryotic large subunit ribosomal RNA
Source: RNAcentral
AGAGAUGUGUGAUGACGCAUAUCAAUAAGCGGAGGAAAAGAAACUAACAAGGAUUCCCUUAGUAACGGCGAGUGAAGCGGGAAGAGCUCAAAUUUGAAAUCUUCAAGGUUCUACCUUGACGAAUUGUAGUUUAUAGAAGUGUUUUCUGUUAGUGGAGUGGCAAAAGUUCUUUGGAAUAGGACAUCAUAGAGGGUGAGAAUCCCGUAUUUGGUCAUUCCUCCUAGCGUUGUGAUACACUUUCAACGAGUCGGAUUGUUUGGGAAUGCAGUCCAAAAUGGGUGGUAAAUUUCAUCUAAAGCUAAAUAUUGGCGAGAGACCGAUAGCGAACAAGUACCGUGAGGGAAAGAUGAAAAGAACUUUGAAAAGAGAGUUAAACAGUACGUGAAAUUGUCAAAAGGGAAGCGUUUGACACCAGUGUUGUUUUUCCGAAAAUCAAUUACGAAUGUUUUGUUUUUAAGAAGUUAUGACUUCAUCGGCUUGCUCCUUUCUUUAUGAAACUUUCUUAAUGCACUUUUCGGUUAACAAGUCAACAUCAAUUUCUUUUGUUGUAAAAGGGUAUGAGGAAGGUGGCUUUCUUUUCGGAGAAAGUGUUUAUAGCCUUGUACCUCUGCAAUCGGAGAGAUUGAGGUCUGCAGCGUAGAUCCUUCGGGGUUAGAUACAUUUGUGCUAAGUUAUAGCUUUUCAUAGACAACUUGUUGACUAUGUUCAGUCUUGUAGCUUACUCGCUUACUGCUAUUUUACCUACGCUUAGGAUGUUGAACUCUAUCACACACA